This 346-nucleotide long non-coding RNA is filed under the name Bos indicus x Bos taurus (hybrid cattle). RNAcentral describes it as "lncRNA (ENSBIXG00005017548.1)". Lineage: Eukaryota; Metazoa; Chordata; Mammalia; Artiodactyla; Bovidae. The record is from RNAcentral.
CUCCUCCGCCCACCAGCUAAGCCUCACCCUGGAGGCAAGAGUAACCAAUCCACCCAAUUCCCCUGCUGCUGGACCCCUCCUGGACUACCAGUGCCCAUCGAAACUGCCAAUCCCUUUUGAGCUGGAGGAACCCUCAGGCCUGAAGACCAGCUCUCAAAGACCAAGAGAGGGUAGGGAGUCCAGAGAUAAGUACCUGGACCCAGCAAACUGGUCAGCGGUUGCAGACCAGAGGCACUUGGACAAAGUCUGUCCCACAGGCUUCAAGCUUGCUGGCUGGAGAUCAUUUACAGAAAGAUCUUUGGGAAUUAACACAUUCUUAUGGCCAGGGAAUUCAGCUUGCAAUUGA